This 253-nucleotide ribosomal RNA is filed under the name uncultured bacterium. RNAcentral's name for it is "partial 16S ribosomal RNA". It matches the Rfam family "Bacterial small subunit ribosomal RNA", at positions 524 to 776 of the family's 1533-position model. The record is from RNAcentral.
UACGGAGGGUGCAAGCGUUAUCCGGAUUCACUGGGCUUAAAGGGUGCGUAGGCGGGUUGAUAAGUCAGUGGUGAAAUCCCCGAGCUUAACUUGGGAACUGCCAUUGAUACUAUUGAUCUUGAAUACCGUGGAGGUCAGCGGAAUAUGUCAUGUAGCGGUGAAAUGCUUAGAUAUGACAUAGAACACCAAUUGCGAAGGCAGCUGGCUACGCGAAUAUUGACACUGAUGCACGAAAGCGUGGGGAGCAAACAGG